Molecule: transfer RNA, 68 nt
Filed under: Ifremeria nautilei
Lineage: Eukaryota; Metazoa; Mollusca; Gastropoda; Provannidae
Description: tRNA-Ala
Rfam family: tRNA
About the family: Transfer RNA (tRNA) molecules are approximately 80 nucleotides in length. Their secondary structure includes four short double-helical elements and three loops (D, anti-codon, and T loops).
Source: RNAcentral
GACCUUAUACUUUAAGUUAAAAGAUCUGAUUUGCAUUCAGAAAAUAAAUCUUUAUGAUUUUAGGGCCA